Molecule: ribosomal RNA, 253 nt
Filed under: uncultured bacterium
Lineage: Bacteria
Description: partial 16S ribosomal RNA
Rfam family: Bacterial small subunit ribosomal RNA
Source: RNAcentral
UACGGAGGGUGCAAGCGUUAUCCGGAUUCACUGGGUUUAAAGGGAGCGCAGGCGGAUUUGUAAGUCAGUGGUGAAAGGCUUAAGCUUAACUUAGGAACUGCCAUUGAUACUAUAAGUCUUGAAUGUUGUUGAGGUUUGCGGAAUGGGUCAUGUAGCGGUGAAAUGCAUAGAUAUGACCCGGAACACCUAUUGCGAAGGCAGCAGGCUAAACAAAUAUUGACGCUGAGGCUCGAAAGCGUGGGGAUCAAACAGG